Molecule: long non-coding RNA, 1243 nt
Organism: Motacilla alba alba
Lineage: Eukaryota; Metazoa; Chordata; Aves; Passeriformes; Motacillidae
Exons: 7
Source: RefSeq, a predicted model, not a curated record
AGGUGCUAAAAAAGGCUGUAUGCAGGCAUGUGAGCAUAGGAGUUUGUGUCCUUUGUUACUCUUUGAGCACAGCCCAGAUCAUUCCAAUGGGUAUUUCAGUGAUUCUGGUGUCAGAUGCUUUUCUGCUUUCACACAAGCUUCAUCCUGACAUGACUGUUGACUUCAGUAAAGGUGUGAUUGCGGAAGGGCUAAGUGCUGGUCUGAAAACUUACAGAAGCCCAGUGGGAAGAGAGGAAGAGUUAAAUGGAUGCUUGUUGCAGUCAUUAUAAAUUGUACAGAGCUUCUUGGUCCAAAGUGUGUGUAAGCAAUAUCUGAGCAGCAGUCAUCAUCCCUGAGCACUCUGAAAGUCACUUUAGGAAGCAGCACUACUGGGAAUCAGCAGGAAUCCUCCUGCAAGAGAUGAGGAUUCAUGUCAGGAUGACACUGCUGAGGAUUCACACAAGCACAUCAACACAGACAAGCCUCUACACUCUGUGAAUCUGCCAUGAACAGAGUUCUCACCCCAUUCAUUGUCUUAGGAAACAGUCCUGCUGGCUUCAGAAACAUCAAAAUAAGGACAAGAGAACUUCAAUUGCACCUAGUUUAUAAUAAAUCAUCGCCAUGGACUGCUGCUAGCCUGCGUUAGAGAAGCAUUGUGGACAGGGUUAGGUGUGGGUGAGCAGUCUGGCUCAGCCUUAGGAGCACAAUUCCUACCUGAGGUCAAAGCAAGGCAAGGUCAGAAGUUGGGAAGAGGAUGUGAAGAGGAUACAGAAGAGAAUGAAAACCUCAGUCUGUUAGAAAGCAGCUGCAAUAGUUUCUCUGUAAGUAUUUCCCUGCCUUCUCUCUUCUUCCCCAGUGCUUUCUCCCUCCAUGCUUUGACCCGUUCCUGGGACUGUUUUCUUCCUCUUCCAUUAUUCUGUGCAUACCACCAACCCCUAUCCCAGAGAUAGCAGGAGUGCAGGGAAAACAAGGCUGCAAAAUGAACUCUCUCUGUAUUUACAUUGGUUUCCAGCUCCUUCUAUGAACAGGCAUAUGGUGUUAAUCUAAACUGUCCAACACAUUAGUGGGAGGGAAGUAGCACCCAGAGGAUUAUUACAACAUUUUACCUGGCAGAUGCCACCGUAUUUAUUGAUAUGAAAAUUUCCUCCCUCCAUAUCAGCCACUGAAACCUCCCUCUGUGAAAUUCUCUUUAUUUUCAGCAUAGCUCUAUUAAAAUAUUUUGUUAAACUCCUUAAGUUUUACUGUGUCUAAAAUGUACAUUCAU